This 279-nucleotide ribosomal RNA is filed under the name uncultured bacterium. RNAcentral's name for it is "partial 16S ribosomal RNA". It matches the Rfam family "Bacterial small subunit ribosomal RNA", at positions 506 to 784 of the family's 1533-position model. The record is from RNAcentral.
UGCCAUCAGCCGCGGUAAUACGGAAGGUCCAAGCGUUAAUCGGAAUUACUGAGCGUAAAGCGCGCGUAGGCGGUUAUUUAAGUCAGAUGUGAAAGCCCCGGGCUCAACCUGGGAAUGGCUUCUGAUACUGGGUAACUAGAGUUUGGAAGAGGAGAGUAGAAUUUCAGGUGUAGCGGUGAAAUGCAUAGAGAUCUGAAGGAAUACCAGUGGCGAAGGCGGCUCUCUGGUCCAAAACUGACGCUGAGGUGCGAAAGCGUGGGUAGCAAACGGGAUUAGAUA